Xenia sp. Carnegie-2017 is the source of this 897-nucleotide long non-coding RNA. RefSeq lists it as uncharacterized. The transcript has 4 exons. The record is from RefSeq and is a predicted model, not a curated record. Lineage: Eukaryota; Metazoa; Cnidaria; Anthozoa; Malacalcyonacea; Xeniidae.
GCCUUUGAACAUUGCUUUUAUUAGUCUUGCCAUCUUUAUGGCUGUUACAAAAGGCAUCCUCGCUGCUUUUCGAAAAAGACCAUUUGAUGGGGCAACAAAGAUGGGGGAUUAUUUUUUUGUAGUCUUUUGGUUAUUCACUGCAAAAAUAACAUGCUUCAUCUUUCUCUCACUCCUGCGGCAACAAUCCUGUGAUUACAGAAAGAAUUACCCAUAAUUGUCAAAAGCCUGGAAACUUUAACUAAUGGACUCCAGUCAAGCAGUACUCAUUCAGUCUCUCCACCUGUCAACACUGAUUUACCAAAACACCUGUCCCCUUUAUGCCUUAAAAGUUCUUGCGAUACAGCUACGAUUUAGGAAAAUGAUAAUACUGGCGACGGAGUGGAAAAGAUGGUAGCACUGGCUCCUGGUAUUAAGAUUUUGCCUUCGCAGAGGGAUCUUUUGACUUUACAAGGAAAUCCAAAAAACUACACGUAUGCGUUAAUGGACAUGAUUUGGUCCAGAGAUGUGUUGGCAACACAUUCCCUAACAGGAAAAACGUCCAAUGCUCACAAAGAUAAAACACCAAAGCCUUCAUUGGAUGCUUCAAAAGUUGCUGCACUGUGUGAUGUAGUUGUAAAAAGAUUUCGCUUACCUGACAAUAAAAUGGUGAAAGGAUUCAUAAAGGCAAAGCUAAACAACAGCGAAAGAUGUAAAAGAUUCAAAAUAAGUGACAACGUACAAGAUAACUGAUUCUUUUUUAUAAUUUUAUUUUUGAUAGUUAAUUUUCAUGUUUUUUUCUACUUAUACAUGCAUAAAUGUUAUUUGUAUUAUUGGUAAUUUUUGCAAUUUUUUAACGUAUGCAAGUUUUAAAAUUUUUAAGUUCUAUUAAAUUAUUUGAGUUUUCUGUAUUAUAUUUAA